AUGAACGCUGGCGGCGUGGAUUAGGCAUGCAAGUCGAACGGGAACUCGUUUUUCGGAAUGGGUUCUAGUGGCGAACGGGUUAGUACAAGUUGGGUGACAUUCCCGGAAGUGGGGGAUAACGGCGAGAAAUCGUCGCUAAUACCGCAUGUGGGCGCGAGCCUAAAGCAGCAAUGCGCUUCCGGAUUGGCCCGACCCCCAUUAGCUAGUUGGUGGGGUAAUGGCCUACCAAGGCAACGAUGGGUAGCUGGCCUGAGAGGGUGGCCGGCAACACGAGGACUGAGAUACGGCCUCGACUCCUACGGGGGGCAGCAGUCUAGAGGCUUCGGCAAUGGACGAAAGUCUGACCGAGCGACGCCGCGUGCAGGAUGAAGGCCUUUGGGUCGUAAACUGCUUUCGACUGGGAAGAAGGCCCGGAUGGUGAAUCCGGGAUUGACGGUACCAGGAGAAGAAGCCCCGGCUAACUUCGU
This 467-nucleotide ribosomal RNA is filed under the name uncultured bacterium. RNAcentral's name for it is "bacterial SSU rRNA". It matches the Rfam family "Bacterial small subunit ribosomal RNA", at positions 29 to 506 of the family's 1533-position model. The record is from RNAcentral.